UACGUAGGGUGCAAGCGUUGUCCGGAUUCAUUGGGCGUAAAGGGCUCGUAGGCGGUUUGUUGCGUCGGCUGUGAAAUCCCGAGGCUCAACCUCGGGUCUGCAGUCGAUACGAGCAAACUAGAGUGUUGCAGGGGAGACUGGAAUUCCUGGUGUAGCGGUGAAAUGCGCAGAUAUCAGGAGGAACACCGGUGGCGAAGGCGGGUCUCUGGGCCGAUACUGACGCUGAGGAGCGAAAGCGUGGGGAGCGAACAGG
Molecule: ribosomal RNA, 253 nt
Filed under: uncultured bacterium
Lineage: Bacteria
Description: partial 16S ribosomal RNA
Rfam family: Bacterial small subunit ribosomal RNA
Source: RNAcentral